RNAcentral lists this ribosomal RNA (308 nucleotides) under uncultured bacterium. Its description in RNAcentral is "partial 16S ribosomal RNA". It matches the Rfam family "Bacterial small subunit ribosomal RNA", at positions 505 to 809 of the family's 1533-position model. The record is from RNAcentral.
GAGACAGCAGCAGCCGCGGGAAUACGGAGGGUGCAAGCGUUGUCCGGAUUUAUUGGGUUUAAAGGGUGCGUAGGCGGCCUAAUAAGUCAGUGGUGAAAGCCUCCAGCUUAACUGGAGAACUGCCAUUGAUACUGUUAGGCUUGAGUAUACUUGAGGUAGGCGGAAUUGACAGUGUAGCGGUGAAAUGCAUAGAUAUUGUCAAAAACACCAAUUGCGAAGGCAGCUUACUAAAUUAUAACUGACGCUGAGGCACGAAAGUGUGGGUAUCAAACAGGAUUAGAUACCCCAGUAGUCCCUGUCUCUUAUAA